RNAcentral lists this unclassified non-coding RNA (471 nucleotides) under Hevea brasiliensis (rubber tree). Lineage: Eukaryota; Viridiplantae; Streptophyta; Magnoliopsida; Malpighiales; Euphorbiaceae. The record is from RNAcentral.
CAGCCAGGAUACAGAGUGAUACCGUGUGUAAUACAAGGAAAUCAUCUCAAAAGGCACUGCGUACACUAUUUGUCAGUGGCAUUCCACAGAAAAACAACAGGAGGGGUGCUCUUCUUUCUCAUUUUCAAAAGUUUGGGGAGGUUAUAGACAUUUAUAUCCCAUUAAAUAGCGAGCGAGCUUUUGUUCAGUUUUCAAAAAGGGAAGAUGCAGAAGCUGCUCUAAGAGCACCUGAUGCUGUGAUGGGCAAUCGCUUUAUUAAACUAUGGUGGGCUAAUCGCGACAGCAUACCUGAUGAUGGCAUAAGCAGUAGCAGUGGUGUAUCUGUAACUCCCCGUGGUGUGCCAGCUGGUUCAGUUCCACCCCAACCUUCAAUUGGUAAUAGAGGAAAAGAUAAUCUUCAGUCUGCUGUUCCUAAGGGUACUAUGGUCGCUCCCUCUGAUGUGUCUAUUCCUCCCACUGAUCAUCCUAAGC